GUAGGUGGCAAGCGUUGUCCGGAAUUAUUGGGCGUAAAGCGCGCGCAGGCGGUUCUUUAAGUCUGAUGUGAAAGCCCACGGCUCAACCGUGGAGGGUCAUUGGAAACUGGAGAACUUGAGUACAGAAGAGGAAAGCGGAAUUCCACGUGUAGCGGUGAAAUGCGUAGAGAUGUGGAGGAACACCAGUGGCGAAGGCGGCUUUCUGGUCUGUAACUGACGCUGAGGCGCGAAAGCGUGGGGGAGCAAACAGGAUUAGAUACCCUGGUAGUCCACGCCGUAAACGAUGAGUGCUAAGUGUUAGGGGGUUUUCCGCCCCUUAGUGCUGCAGCUAACGCAUUAAGCACUCCGCCUGGGAGUACGACCGCAAGGUUG
This 372-nucleotide ribosomal RNA is filed under the name uncultured organism. RNAcentral describes it as "partial 16S ribosomal RNA". It matches the Rfam family "Bacterial small subunit ribosomal RNA", at positions 527 to 896 of the family's 1533-position model. The record is from RNAcentral.